This 465-nucleotide ribosomal RNA is filed under the name uncultured bacterium. RNAcentral's name for it is "partial 16S ribosomal RNA". It matches the Rfam family "Bacterial small subunit ribosomal RNA", at positions 28 to 507 of the family's 1533-position model. The record is from RNAcentral.
GACGAACGCUGGCGGCGUGCUUAACACAUGCAAGUCGAACGGAAAGGCCCCUUUGGGGGUACUCGAGUGGCGAACGGGUGAGUAACACGUGAGUAACCUGCCCUUGACUUCGGGAUAACUUCAGGAAACUGGGGCUAAUACCGGAUAGGAAUCCUUGCUGCAUGGUGGGGGUUGGAAAGCUUCGGCGGUUUUGGAUGGACUCGCGGCUUAUCAGCUUGUUGGUGGGGUAGUGGCUUACCAAGGCGUUGACGGGUAGCCGGCCUGAGAGGGCGACCGGCCACAUUGGGACUGAGAGACGGCCCAGACUCCUACGGGAGGCAGCAGUGGGGAAGAUUGCACAACGGGCGGAAGCCUGAUGCAGCAACGCCGCGUGCGGGAUGACGGCCUUCGGGUUGUAAACCGCUUUCAGCAGGGGCGAAGCUUGUGGUGACGGUACCUGCAGAAGAAGCACCGGCUAACUACGUG